CGGCACCCUAACACUACAACUAGUGGCCAAAAUUUGUGAGUGUCCCCAUGCACACCAGGAAAUUCAGAGACAUGUUCUCCCGUCGUUCAUUUACCAAUCUGAAGCUGGACCUAUAUCUGCCUGCAAGACAGACUUGGUCAAGCGCACGGUGAAAACAAGCCCUGGGGGGAUACCCAGAUGUUUUCCUCAUUUUUACGGUAGUAAAAAGAGUCCCAGGAGCCGUUCUGUGUGCUUAUACCUGAAGUGAUCAAAUGAGAAACGGACGAAGUCACAGCUUGCGUUUAAACCUUUAUGGGUAGGUUAAUCUGGCUAAAAAAAACGAAAACCAUUUUUUUAUGAUUUUCCCCGGAAAUGAGGAAUGAAAUAAGAAAGAGGUAAAAUAAGCGGCCAGCAGUGCGUCCCCCUCGCCUUUUUUCUGUCACUGUCGCCAAACUGCUCGUCUCAGCACAAAUCGGAAGGUAGCGCUGGAAAGUGUAUGAAAUUUCCUACAAGGUGAUUAUUUUUACCAUUUUUACCAGAUCUAAAGUACAUUUGAAAGUACCGAUUGAAACAUUCAAAACGACAUCAAAUGUGCAAUCGUGGAUCAAUAUUUGAGUCAGUCCUUCAAGAAGACACGUGCUAUAAACCAGGGACGUGUUUUCUGAUACUCCUGCCUAUAUCAAAAAUGUAGUGACUUUCGACGUGAAUCGGGGCCGCCUUCUGCUCGUCCGCCAUGACACGAGUGGUCGUCGCCAAGCCAGGCCUGCGCACGAGGCUAAACACGCUGCGCCGGCUGUUGAUAAACAACACAAUAGGCUUCUUACAGUAAACGUUAAAAUAACUUUCUUGCUGUUGCAUUUGUGUGUUGGUCGGAUUUAAAACAAAUAUAUUUCUAAUUAUUUGGUGGUGAAUUUCGUUUUCCGUGAUGGUCUCUUUCAGUUGGCUCUUUUUUAUCGUCUAAAGUAAGUUGUAAUGCCAAGUUGCGGUUAUGUUUCCCUGUGUACGUUUGGUAGAAGUUUUAACAAUAUUCUUUCAGAAUGUCAUUGUUAAUUUGUACGUAUUGCUCUAGACUUUUCCAUAUUUCGAUUUUUCCUGACUGUGUGUUCGGGUGCAGUGAAUGUGUGAACCGGUGAUAAUACCAACAAUCUACUGACUUGUUUAUACUAUGUCAACUGUGUGCUCUAUUGGGAAAGCUGCUGUGGACAACAUUGUUUGUAUUGAAAAUGACUACCCACGAGAUAAACUUACUCCAGAACAGUUGCGUUUGCUUCGUUUAAGGACCGGCUCUAUGAGGAGGGUGAUACGAAGCGGAAUAGAGUUUGAAAUCAAGUUGGACCACAAAGAUGAGGCAAAACUACUCGAUCUUAAUCCUUCAUUAGACCUUAUUAUGGGGAAGAGACUGUAUGUCAUGCAAAACCUCACUGCUUAAAUAAUUCAAAGCAAACGUAAUAGAUGCACCUUCUAAUGCUAUCGUCACCGAGCUAAUUAUCAACCACAUCUGCCUCUGUACCUUCUUAGACUGUUGAGGAAGAUAAGCAUCCGCUUGAACCAAAACAGCCAAGUCCUGAUUAUAUAAAUUACUCUCAAUCAUGUUUAGGAAAUUUAAAUAAUUGGCUUAAGUCAAAGGGUGAAGAGUACGUAGAUUUUCAAAAGCUUGUCAAUAAAAGACCUAUUUAGUGCAGCAGUUGGACAAAGUAAAAAAGGGUGUUAAAAGUUCGUGCAAGUGUUGAUGAUAGUGAAACAAGUUCAGUUUCAAGUUGGUAUGAAAAAUCAGUACAGUAUGAUGAAUUUGUUUAUCAAUUACAAGAAAAUAUUAAAUCAAGUCAAAGCAAAGCUGAUCACAUUCAUGCUUUGAGUGUCCUGCCUAGAAGUCUUUCUGUUGAAGAAAUAAAGACAAAGUUUCCUCCAGUUUCAAAUAGACUUGCAAGAAGGACCCAGGAACUCCUUGAUAAAAAAGGUAAUUUAUGUACGCCUAACAAGAAAAUAGGGAGGCCAAUAGGUACAGAGACUGUUCACUAGGAACUGAUUUUUAUUUAAGACAAGAUGUGUCUAAAGAGAAGGUUAGCAAAAAUCAAGUAAUUAGUGUUAAAAGGAGUGGCCAAGGGAGUGACGGUGAGAGGGUGAGAAAACAGAAGAGGCUGAUUCUAGAUAAUAUUGUGCAUUUGCAUCAAGAGUUCAAGAGGGAAUUUCCCAAUUGUGAAAUAUCUCUUCCCAAAUUUGCACAACUUCACCCCAAGGAGUGUGUACUUGUGCCUUCUUGUGGAGUGCAUAAUGUGUGUGUGUGUGUGUUCCCCAUGAGAACUAAUGUUCCACGGUGCAGGUUUGAGAACCCCUUUUCAAAAAAUCAACUGAUUGCUUAAAAAAAUUAAUGUGCUCUCCACCUUCGGUUAGUUGUAAUCUGAGAACAUGUAAGGAGUGCUGUGGUAAAAGUAGUGAACUUCGUGACCAAUUAUUGCCCUUAUGUGAUCAAAGUUUUAUUGAGGAUGUGACAUUUAACCAUUGGAAGUCGACUGACCGAGCCAACUUACUGACAAUCACCUGUUCUGUUGAAGAAUUCGUUGAGCGCUUCAUUAACCAGUUACAAAAACUAAUCCCGCAUCACUUCAUUUUUAAAACCCAAGCUGAAUAUUUCCGAUUACUGCAAGCAAAUCUAGAUAAAGAAGAAAAUCUAGUGGUUGGUGAUUUUGCAGAAAAUUACUCCUUUGAUGUUCAAGAUAAGGUCUAUGCUUACUAUUUUGGUCCCAAAAAAACAAUGCACAAUCCACCCAUUUAGUGUUUAUUUUAAGGGCUUUGAAACUGAUGAAAAGAAGCAAUAAUCAUUUGCUGUCAUUUGCUGUCACGUGAAUUUGACUAUCUCAUCCACGAUUUACCGACGUGUUCGUGUUGAUCACGUCGAUUCAACGUGACGUCGACAUAAAUGUCUCCACGUACAACCGUGCUACAUGCAGAUCUGAAUCUCAUACGGUGUCUUCUUUUCUUCGUGCGCAACGAAACUCUCCAUGCAUGGUAUCGUGGCGGAAUUUUUUGAAAGGUGUUCUGUCAAGAACACCAUCUGAGUAUUCUUCAAUGAAGAUGACGAAUGAAAAGCGUGUGCUCUGUCACAUGAUAAAUGUCUAGCAGUUUCGUUGGCGCUGUUUUAAAAUGAGAAGCAAAGCUACAUGUGAGACCAACUGGUACGAGCAACUAAAUCAAGUGUUUCGAGGCAAUCGACGUGAGAUCAACGUGGAAUCGACGUGUACACGACAGACGAACUGAUACACGUCGAUUCGACGUAGAUUCCACGUCGAAUUGACAGUAUACUGGAAUAUGGCGUUCAGAACACUAAAAAUCCCAUUUAGUGAGAAAUGUUGAUGCGAAAAUGGUUCCAUCUUAUUUUAUUUGCAACUUUUUAGAAAGGUAAAUAGUGGUGGAUGUCUGGUGGAUGUAUUCACCACCACGAAAGGUCCACGAAACCACUUCGACGCAUCCGUGCAACACUGGCGAAUCUGUUUAGGACGGACAAACAAGGGCGAAUCUGAGAAGGACGGACGAACAAGGGCGAAUCUGUUUAGGACGGACGAACAAAGGCGAAUUUGCUUUUUCAGAAUUCCCGCAGACCUAUCUUUUGAACGCUUCUUGCUCUUCGAUGGAUCACUUCAGUUGAGGUCGUAUUCUUUUGAAGGCUCAAUGACGGGUGCAAUGAUGCUUCGUUCAAAGUGAUCUGACGCCAAAUCGAGGAGUGAGAGAUAGAUCUCCAGAAAUUCUGAAAAAGCACAUUCGCCUUUGUUCGUCCGUCCUUAGCAGACUCGCCCUUGUUAGUCCGUCCUUCACAGAUUCGCCCUUGUUCGUCCGUUGUAAACAGAUUCGUCAGUGUUGAACGGAUGCGUCGACUUGGAAUCCACGUCUUUUCCACGACCUAUUUCUCUCUGUGGAUAUAAAGGUUUGAACGCAAGCUGUGACCUCGCUCGUUUCUGAUUUGAUCACUUAGGUAUAAGCACCCUCCUGUGUUUCCCAGGAAAAUGUCAUGGGUUUCCUAGUAGGUCUCCUGGGAAAACCAGGAAACCCCUGGGAAACCAAUUCACCUGGGAAUCCCAGGGCUCGGUUGUACUGUGCGAGCACUGCUGAAAACAGUUUCGCCAGCCGGCGGCUUGCUAAGAAAGACUCAGUUGAUGCAGUUUUCUAAGCGUUUGAGUCUUUGUCAGUAGCCUCCCGCCGGCCAACCCGUUUUCAGAAGCGGUCGGUCGGCCAAGCCUUUCUGUGAGGAAGGUAUCGCUUCCCUAUACUUUAUACCUAUACUUAUACCUAUACUUUCCUUGCGGUUCGCGUGGAGCAGUUCACUGAAAGUAAGAAUCUGUCUCUGAAUUUCCUGCAUGGAAUAAUUUGGGAUGACUUAAGUUUGUCUCGGAAAACGGUCCACGACCUCUGGGGAGUAUGAGAGGUCUUUAACCGUUCAAAGGUAAAGGAUAGGCCAGCAGUGUAAAAAAUUUGUUUUUCAAUCGAAACCGUCCUGGUCGUUGCUACAAGACAGCGCGGCACAGUAGGAAAGGGAGGGGGGCGGGGGGGAAGGACAGCGUCAUGGUUCAUCACAACCUGUUCCCCUUGAUCCGCGUCUGGCUUACAGUGAACACCUUGCUCUCUGAGUGGGGAUCAUCCAUAAAGUACGUCCGCUCUUUUCACCCUCAACACCCCCUCCCCCCUUUUCAGACGUCCAUUUUCAAUUAGGCGUCCCCAAAUAACAAUAUCAGUUUCUAUAUGUGAUGGUAGUAAGGAAAAUGUUUAUCGGGAGGUGAAUCAUAUUUCUACAGGUCUACUAGUGCACGGUAAAAACAAUAUCUCAUUUUUCUUUUUCUUUUUUUUGGAAAAAUGGAAACCUUUGAGAAACGCGCUCUAAAUCUUUUACAAUGAUUUUUUUCGUAUAAUGCAAAAAAAUUGGACGCAACCGUAAUACACAGGAAAUUUCCUUGUAUAAAAAGUUUUCUUUGUAUAACAAUGAGUUUUCUUUGUAUUACAAAGAAAAUUUGUCUUUGUUUUACGGUUGCACAAAAUUCUUUGUACUAAAUACAAGAAUUUUCUUUGUAAGGAUUUAGGAGUGUGGUCUAACGAAUACCGCUCAUAUUUCGACGAAGUCUCCUCAAAAACAUGUGAGAUUUUACCUCAGUUUUUCUGAUUCCUCGUGGGAGUUUUCCUCAGAUAUAGGAGUUCAAAGUUUUCGCCCUUUUCCCUCAGCAAAAGGGACAUAAUUUUUAGCCCGCCCUUCUGCUUUGAAAAAGCUAUUCAGCGGGCUUAUGCAAACGACCUUGUGUGUGUCUGUAUGUCUGUCUGUGUGUCUGUCUUUCUGUCUGUUCCACUAGAAGGAGAUGUGCUAGAGACUUGAAA
This is a long non-coding RNA of Frankliniella occidentalis (western flower thrips), 5334 nucleotides long. RefSeq lists it as uncharacterized. Lineage: Eukaryota; Metazoa; Arthropoda; Insecta; Thysanoptera; Thripidae. The record is from RefSeq and is a predicted model, not a curated record. The transcript has 3 exons.